GCGAAGACAUCGCUCCUCCUCCACCCGCAGCCGCGGAGACCGCGCGCUUCUCUUCCUCGCUCACUCCUCCCAGCGUCCUCGCAGGAGCGACUCCCCGCUGCCGCCGCGGCCGUCCUCCUCGCUCGCUCCUCCUGCUCCCCGCUGCCGCCGCUACGCCGCGCCAUAGCCGGAGCCGCCGCGGCCGUCCUCCUUCUUCCCCACCGCUGCGCCCCGCUCUUCCCCACCUCCUUCUUCCCAGAUCGUGCUUCUCCCACUCGGAUCAGCCGACGGAGCCGACUUUGGCCCCUUCUCCGCCGCCGGAACCGACAUCGACCUCAGCCCGCGGCCGUCCUUCUUCUUCCCCACCGCCGCGGCUGUCCUCCUCACGGGCUUCUCCUCCGUCCCGCUGCCGGCGCUACGCCGCGUCCUCGCCGGAGCCGCCGCCGUAUCGUUCUUCUCCCACUCGGACCCGUACGAAUCUCCGUCCUCCACCUUCGCCGCUCGCCCCUCUCUCUCUCUCUCUUCGCCCGUGACUCCAUCCCCUCCCUAGCCGCUGCCCUCGCGGCCUCGCCAUCGCCAAUCCCUCCAUGCCUUCUCGGGCUCAUGGUGGAGGGGCGGGGGCUGCCUUCGGUGGAGGGUUACAGCCGAUCCCCAUCAACAGCGCCCGCGAGUGAGGAUCAAGCCGCCGCUAUCGAGCCAAAUCAGGCGGACAAGCUGAGCUGACGGUGUAUACGGGAGGUAGAGAUGGACACCAGCGACGGCGGUGCGUUCGAUCCACGCAAAAGUGACCUUGAUAGCAUGUGGCGGGAGAGGAUCGGCGGUGGCGCCUGAGAUGUCGACAGGGAACAUGCUUGCAGAUCUCUCUUCCGUCAAUGGCUACCACGAGGGUCUUCCCAUGGUGCUUGCCCACAUUGCCACCUACGCCGCGCUUGCUCUUCCCCCAACUGUCGACGCCCGGCACCAUAGCUGCCGAGGCCAAGAAGAUCUGGACCAUCUGGUCAUCUUUGGCGCCAUGAAUCCGGCCACUUCCGCCAACGGGGCUGCUGCCAUCAUCGACCCGCCGUCUCACACGGUUCAAUGGGCAUCAUCACACGCCUAUGCUUCAUGUCCUUCUUUACUAGCAGGUCAUCAGGUGGAGAAGCCAUCCAUAUGCUAAAUAGGUCUCAAGAUAGGAGUGAGCAGCAAGUUCGGUUUUCAUUGGGCCAUACUCCUCAUCUGAACAAACAGCCAUCAUGGCCCAGGGAGUAUAAAGUUGAAUAGAGCGGUUGCGAUGACGGCAGCUCAGCUCAACAAUGGCACUGGGCGUGCACUGGGAGGCCAGUCUGCUCCCCAGUUUGGCACUCCUUGUGGUAAGGGAAACGAGGAGAAAGAAAUGACCGACCAACAGGUUGUGAAAGACACCAACGACCUGCAUCACGCAAAUAAACAGGUAUUUAUUAUUUUGGUUAGUUUGGUUUGUUGUGCAGAUAUUAAUUAAGGCCAGGGGUAGGGGUUGAAGACUUAUGGAUGAAUCCGGUACCGUAACCUUCACAUUUGACCGUUCAUUAGUAGCUAAAUGGACGGCUACCAUGCAUCUGAUACAUCAAUCUGUAGGCUAAUGACAUAUCUUGAGUUAUAGCGAUACUUUCUUUAAACAAUUGCUAUCUUUUUAUGUACUGAAAUUUGCAUAAUCCUUAUGAUGUGUUUUUCUUUAAUCAUAUUUAUGUAAUUAAUACAUGUAGAGGAUAAGAAGAGAGAUGAUUAGCUUCUGCAUUUCUGAGAUGUGAAUAUCUAACUAGGUAUCCAGAUCCUAAGAAAAAAUAUCUUCAGAGAAUAGUAUCAAGCAAAUAUUCAGAGAAAACAGUGGGCCCAUUUUUUUUGGGGUAUUUCAUACCAUUAAUCGUAGCAUUCGGCAGUUCUGCAGUUAUGUAUACUUUGCACUUCUAUUGUGCAAAUGUUAUGUUACAAUAUAUAUGCUGUUCUGAAGGUCCAUGACGAAAUUCUUGCUGCAAUCACAGAAACAGAGGAGGGACCUCUCCAUUUGAAAUGCUCUAGGCUACAUAAAAAACUGACCUAAUCAUAUGAAACCUUAAGAUAGUACAUAUUAUUAUUAGACAAUAUGUUGGUCUUUUCUUGCUAAACCUGAAUUGUUAUAUUGGUGCAUAGUGGAAUUAGUAAGAUUGGUGUGACUAAGGAGAUAUAUUUGAAGUGUAUACAUUUUUAUUAAGUCAAUAGACAAUGUUUCAGCCUGCAGUGAUCGACAUAUUCAGGUGUCAGUAGAGAGGCACAACAUUUAUUUGCUUACUGGAUUACUUCUAGACAAGGUUUGCUUCUUGCUUUUCUAUGACUGACAUGUUAUAGCUCCGCUAAAUGAAGUAUUAUUACAAUUUUAGUGGAGCAUUAUGAUAUUAGUUAUGCUGAUUUAAAAUGCGGUAAUCUAUUGCUUUAGACAUGGGAACAUACAUGAUGAAUUGACCUCUUGUUAUAGUUUUAGUUUCAUCAUGAUUUUUUAGAAAUAUAUAUAAUAUAUGAAUAUUCACAAUGCAACAUCCUCUGCCUUUUCUUCUUUGGAUAUAUCACACUGAGAUAAAAGGGAAUUAUUAAUAUGUUAGAUUGUGCUAUCAGUGUUGAUGUGAAACAAAGUUAUCAUCGGUAUUUUUUAUCAUGGAUUUCUAUUUUCUAAUAUCCGUUUCCUAUCUAACCAAAGGAGGGAACAACAAUCGGUGCAUGAUCUCUCUACCUGAUUUAGACAGGUAACACUAUCAAACACAACUUGCAUGGGAUUUCUAUUUUUCUGUUGGUCAUGUGGGUUAGUAAUGAGGCAUGAGAAAAUUUUUUCAAAUUUGAUUACUAUAAAUUAUUGUUACUCUAACAUCCCUACUCAUGUUAGAUGAUGUUCUGAAAAAGAUUCUAGCCUGUAUAGCUUUAUGUGCAAUGCCUCUUGAGGAUGCUGCAGGUUGUGUAUUUUCUGAAUUAUUUGUUGUAAAUAACCAUACACACAUGGAUUCUUCUUUAUGUUUCUUCAUGCACCAUUGAAACUUUGAUGUGCUAGCAGCCAGGGAGUUGCCAUUUUCCUUUCUACAUUCUGAUGGAGGUAAACUCAACAUAUAUGUGUAUGUGAAACCAUGUCAUUAAUAUAUUUUGGCGUAUUUCUGAUAUAAUACUUAAAACAAGUGCUUAUCAGUUUUAUUUCGAGGGAUUAACUGAAUCUGGAAAAGUUUUAUUUCGAGGGAUUAACUGAAUCUGGAAAAUGGAGGACCUAGAUUUUCUAAAGGGUCAUCUGAUAAUAUAUGUUAUUGAACAAGUGUGAUCUUUCUUUAUUUUUGCUAAUUUAUUGAUACCUUGCCAUUUUUUAAGUUCUAUUUCCUGUACCAAUUUCCUAUAAUCAAUGUAGUUUUUUUUAUUUACAUAAGUCUCUCAAAGGUAUUGUCAAGCUUCUGACCAUGCUAACAUUGAGGCUGCCUUGUAACAGUGUACCUCUCCUCAAAUAUCAGAAACAUGGUUGGAAGAGUCCAUUCUAAAUGGCAUGAUGGCCACAAAGUUUGUUUGCUCCAAGGCCACAAAUAGUGUCUCAAAAUAUAGUAUAAAUUUGUAUGAUCUUCUCUUUAAAUUCUAAACACGGUUUUUGACAACUGACAAGUAUGGAUAAAAAAUUCGAUGCCUAAAAAUAUGCAGGAGCCUCAAGUGAUAUCUUUAGAAGGGAUGAGUUUAUUGUAAUAAACAUGAAUAUAUGAUGUAGGCUUAGACAAUAUUUCUAGAUUGACAUUUUAAUUUCUAUAUAAUACAUGAUUCAUGAGUUUGAAAUGUAUAUGUAGUUAUUUAUAUUU
Long non-coding RNA from Oryza sativa Japonica Group (Japanese rice), 3785 nucleotides. RefSeq lists it as uncharacterized. Lineage: Eukaryota; Viridiplantae; Streptophyta; Magnoliopsida; Poales; Poaceae. The record is from RefSeq and is a predicted model, not a curated record.